UUGGAGGGCAAGUCUGGUGCCAGCAGCCGCGGUAAUUCCAGCUCCAAUAGCGUAUAUUAAAGUUGUUGCAGUUAAAAAGCUCGUAGUUGAACUUCGGGGUCUACCCAUUGGUCAGGCUUAAUUGUCUGCACUGGUGAGAUGGAUCUCUACCUUCUGAGGAACUUUCAUGCCAUUUAUUUGGUGUGAUGGGAAGUCAGGACUGUUACUUUGAAAAAAUUAGAGUGUUUAAAGCAGACUAUCGUCUAAAUACAUUAGCAUGGAAUAAUGAAAUAGGACGGACUGAUUCUAUUUCGUUGGUUUCUAGGAUCACCGUAAUGAUUAAUAGGGAUAGUUGGGGGCAUUAGUAUUCAAUUGUCAGAGGUGAAAUUCUUGGAUUUAUUGAAGACUAACUACUGCGAAAGCAUUUGCCAAGGAUGCUUUCAUUAAUCAAGAACGAAAGUUAGGGGAUCGAAGACGAUCAGAUACCGUCGUAGUCUUAACCAUAAACUAUGCCGACUAGGGAUCGGACGAAGUUAAUUUUAUAAUGACGCGUUCGGCACCUUACGGGAAACCAAAGUGUUUGGGUUC
RNAcentral lists this ribosomal RNA (567 nucleotides) under uncultured Glomeromycotina. Its description in RNAcentral is "SSU rRNA". It matches the Rfam family "Eukaryotic small subunit ribosomal RNA", at positions 548 to 1114 of the family's 1831-position model. The record is from RNAcentral. Lineage: Eukaryota; Fungi; Glomeromycota.